CCGAAAUAACCUGGGUCGGAAGCUCUAUCGACCGCUACACACGUACCUCACGUCUCGUCCCACUACUCAUCGCCCGCGAUACCUAAAAAAUGGUGGGGGAGGUGAGAACAUGAAAACAUGUCUCCCCUCCCAGUGGGUACCGCAAGUCGAAGAAGGCGAGGAGUACUCACCGGAUCAGGAAGAGCUAUACAACAACACGGUUCAGUGGAAAUACAGUAGGAACAAUAGUGAACAAAAGAGAUGUAUAAGAUAAUGAGCAGAUAUACUAAAUGCAGUAGUAAUAAACUGAAAGAAAGUAAGAACUAGACUGAAUAAAGGCUACCGCUACUGUAACUGGAACCGAAAGCAUACAUGAAUAUCUACUAUAGCAGCAAGACAACUAUAAAGUAAGAACUGUAAGUAUGCAUGCAACGACUGCUACUAUAGACAUAUACGUCAACCGGUCAAGAAGUCCAAAAGUACCCAAUCUGAAACCAAUGCUCUCUUGGUCAGCACCGCGGACCUCAAGCCAGUGCCACUACUACUCUCCAGUGCAUAUAACCUCUCUAGGGCUCACGGGUUGUCACCAUUCAAUCACUUUUCCGGAAAAGAACACUCCUUGCGGUGGAUCAGACCGCCAGUGUUCGUGAAAUGCGACAAGUAUCGGGCGAUCAAUGUAAUAUGCUCAAUGCUCAACCAUCGGUAACCAGCCGACAAUCCUGCCCCCCAGGGCCCAUCGACCGCAUAGGUCGUCAACUGUAAAGAAGCACAAGAACCGACCACUCAGGUCAACUAGGAUGGGACAACAUCGACAUCCUCUCAAACAUAUGCAAAUACUGCUCAAUGAACCACAAGGACUGACCACUCAGAUCAACUAGGAUAUGAAACUCGACCAAUCACGUCACAAGUACAGGAUAUGAAACUCGACCAAUCAUGUCACAAGUAUAGGAUAUGAGUAAAGUAUAAUUAUCCGUCGGCAACUAACCGACAAUCCCAUCCUUCAGGGUAUACCGACCUCAACAGUCAUCAGACAACAAAGGUCGAGGAACUCACCGAAUAGGUCACAAAUACUGAAUACUAGAAUAGACCGACUAGAUCGCUAAUCUCACAGAUAAUCACGGAAUCGCUCUACUAUAAAUAUGAAAUAUGGUAUGCAGAAAGCUAAGUAGAGGAACAAGGAAACAUGGUAUCACAUACAGAUAGACUAUACUCCUACACAUGAUACUAAGCAUGGAAACAUCUGAGUAGAGUAUAAUCAAACAACGUGGGUGUAAUGUAAACAAUAGAGGUGCAAAGCUCAACAUAUAAUAUAAGCAUGGAUAAUAACAAAAGAGCAAGGGUAAGAAACCAUCACCGAGCGUGCACCACUGUACCGACGUCGGAUCGAAGUACCCACCUGUACAACUGUCGCGCCUGUCUCCUGACUGCAAAAGAACGUCAACCGGACCUAAGGAGGGUCCACUGGGUUAGUGUCUAACCCACAGCUAAGAAACCCUAAAAGCAUAACCCACAAACAAUCCCACAGAAAUCGGUUUCCCAAUACCGAUUACCGUAACUCGCCGGAAGUCCCGAAAAUCGCACCGGGACUCCGCCGGGACCCACUAACUAUCCCGGAAGGCACCGACUCAUGCCACGAGUCAUUUGCUGCCACUAAACACUUAUUUUAGUGUGACAAGGCAGCAAACACAAGGAUACACAACCAAACAACUAUUGGUGGAUAAUUGUUGGGAUCCGGGUUCCCGGAAGUGUCUAUUUCGACACCGGAACCCACCGUCACUCACUCGUCAUUUCUGAACUCUCGAAAUGACGUGAGUAACCAGCCAACAAGGCUCAGCGACUACACAAUAGCUCACGAAGCGCCGUCGGAAUAAUUCCGAACCAAAACCGCGUUCCGUCGGCGGAUUUUGCCGACAAACGCACCGAAAAUACAUUUCCGAUCUUCGCAAAGGUCCGGGGCCUUGGACAAUCAGUCUAGAGAUCACCCACAGCCUACCCAUGCUGCCAACAGCAGCCGCAACAACCGGAAUUGCAUAAAAGCCCUUUCGAAUACCCGAAAUCGCAUUAUUUCAUGCGAUUUCGGCGCUUUUAUGGUCCGUCUGCACAAACCAGAAGUGAAUCAGCCGAGCCAAUAUACCUAUUGAUAGGUUUCAGCGUGCCGGAGGCCAUGCUCACCUUUCGGAGCAAUUUUGGCCACUGCGGAGAGCGCGGGAGUGACGCGAAAAUCUGCGAACAGCGCGCACAGCAUGAAAAACGUGCUUAUCUCGCUAACCAGGGGCUCGCUGACCCUAAUUGAGGUGAGCACUGUGAUCAGGACUGAUAGACUAUCACCGUGCUCACCCCCGGAGGCAUCGGAACAGCCUCGGGUCGCCGGAACAGUGACUAGAACAGGAAAUCAUGUGCAGGACAGCAACAACAAUGCUUACCGGCCAGGGCAGAGCUAGGGCUGGCCGCCGGCGGCCGGACGGUAAGCGCUUCGGCCGGAGGUGGGAGCAGAUGGUCCAAGGGGUCCGGGUAACCUGCUGGCCGGCGGCGGGAGGUGGCCGGUGGCGCGGCGACGGCCGGAGGAGGUCGGGGCGACGGCGAGAAACACGCGCAUGAGGUCACCAACAGAAGAGGGAGGCGGGGCGGACCGCCUCAAGGCGGCUGCAACUCGCGGCCACGAGCUGACUCGAGCUCGGCCCGAGCUGCAGCAGAUUGCCGCAGAUGGUCCCGACGGCGCCGGCGGCACGUGCGGACGGUGACGGCUGGUAGGGACGGCGCCGGGGAGAUCGAGAAGGGUGGUUCAUCCCAUCCCGAGCGGCAGCAGGGCGAGGAGGAGGAGAUCUCACAACCUCGGCCAGAUCUGUCCAGGUUGGCCGCAUCCUGCUAGGGCGGCGGUGGCGGCGCUCCGGGGCGGCCGGCGGCGAAGAUGCUGGAGAAGGGUCUCGGCCAGAGGGUGCAGUCUUGACGUGGAUGGUCACCCCUCGAGCUCAAAGACCAAAGAAGAUAGUGGCUAGGUGGAGAUGAUGGUAGAGGAGAGGCCGAUCCUGGUUUCCGGCGGCCGGGGAAGCUCGCCGGCGGCCGGGGCGCGCGCCCUGCUAGAGCAUGGACCUGCAGAUGGCGGCUAGGGCACAGCUGGGCGCUGGGUUGAGUAGAUCUAUGGUUUCGUGCAUAGAAACCCUAGAUGCACAUUGUAUACAAAGUGCAAUUUUGCACAAAAGUCCACCGAACUACAAAUUUCAACCCUAGUCCUUCACAAUGGGUAACUCUCGCGCUUUUGCACCUCCACAAUCGAUCUCGCACGAUUCGGUACAUAAAAUAUUGCGACUUUGCGAAUUCCCGGUUUUCCACUCUCGACCCCUUAGCGAACUUAUUGCAAAUCCCAAAGAUCCGUCCAUCGGAUUUCUGAUCGGAUCACGCCAACGCGUUCAGCACGUCGAGGCAUCGAAUCUAGCAUUUCGUUUUGUCCGAUUUGAUCUCCGAUUCACGAUGAAAUCCAUUCUCUCUCCAAAAGGCCAAAAUGAUGCACAAUUACAUAAGAAACAUGUAUUUUCAGAUUUUUCUCGAAAAUCGUGCAUCAUAUUUAAAAUCCGUCAGUGCCAUUGGUUCCAGAAUAGCUGAACGUUCAAAACGAGCUAUUGGGUCGCUAUGAACGGAGUCCGAUACGCGCCGAAAACCAACUCUACUCCGUGGCUUCUCCGGAAAAUCGGAGUUACUAUUCACUUAAGUGAAAACUAAUAAUCGCGUAACUUCUCCAUUUUAGCUCAUUUUCUCCUGAAACUUGACGAGUGCUUAUGUAAUUAAAUUACACACAUAAACAUCAUCAACAGAGAGUUUAGUUGCUCUGUAAAAAUCUCAGUCCUUACAGUAUGAAUCACCAUAACAUGAAUUAACACUUUACCUGGACAUCGUGAUUCACAUCGUGGGUCAUUUUUCAAUUUCUUCGAAAUCUUGAAUUCUUCGAUCUUCGACGAUACGCACCGAUUCUUCAAGACUCCGACUCACUUCACGAAACUUGCCAACACACAGGACUUAACAUAAAGUAGAGAAUGGGAAUGGUUUAGCUGGACCUAGGAGACCCUAGAAUAGUAAACCUUAGGAGAUUAAGGCCCGUGAGAGACGAGGAUUUGUGGCUUGUGGCGAAUGGAUAAUGGAUUGGGUUGUGUCGAAACCUCUAAGACAGAUAUUAGAGAUAGACUCGAGGUGUGGUUUAUUCUUGACUGAGGGUGUUCAUGUUGGGCGCGCACGACAUGAAACAGAGUGAUGAGAAUCGGUGCCCUUGCUUGACUUUCGCCCGAUUUGAGUCGAUGAUUAGCUAGUUCGUACUUGACCUAGAGGGUCGAGAACUGACGAGUUGUCCUGUUUCAGGAAGCGAUGGCACCGCGUAGGCGAUCUUCAUACAGAUCGGUGCGGGAGGGGACAAGUGGUGUCCUUGAGCAAACCGACGCGAGCGGAGACUCAGAGCUUCGUGAUCAGUUGGCCACACUCGUCGAAGUGGUGAGGCAACAGGCCGAUUUGGUGCAGCGGCAGCAAAGGCUGCAAUGCGCCAGGAGGAGCGAAUGAAAAGACUCCAAGAGACAGUGGAUCAGUUGGUGACUGCUCCAGUUGCGACUCGUCGUGUACGGUCGGGAGUCGUGGCGGAGGCAUUUCCGCCGGGGUCAGGCGAUCCUACUACUAUUGGUUCAGAGAUGGAGGCGGAGAAAGAGCGGGCUUUGGCGGCCCUCAUGACCUUCAAGAGGUUUGAUCCGCCUAUCUUCGAUGGAGAGAAGGUCGAUCUGUGGAUCGUGGAGAUGUGAAUUGACUCUAUGAAAAAGCUAUUCGAGGAGGUGUACACCUUGGAGCGGGACAAGGUGCCCCUAGCAGUGCAUUGCUUGAAACUGUCGACGAAGGUGUGGUGGAAAGGCGUCAAGCGAAACCUUUCGCCUAGUCUCCCUCCUAUGACUUGGGAAGAGUUUCGGGGAUUGGUGUUUUCUAUGUACUUCCCCGAUAGUGAAAAGAGAAAGCUUUAGGACAAGUUCAGGAAGCUGCGGCAAGGGGACCGCUCUAUGAGGGAGUACGAACGGGAGUUCUCCCGUAUCGUGAAUUGUGUCCCGGAUGUGGUACAAGAUGACAAGGAUAUGGCCGAUUGGUUCCUACGUGUAUUUCGACCAGAGAUUUAUAAGGAAGUGCAAAUCUUCAAGCUCACAACCUUCGCGGAGGUGUUGGAUCGAGCGUUGUUGGCAGAGCACGGCGAGGCUUUCGUGCGUGAGGAGCACGAGCCUUCUGAACGUGAGCGGGGAGGGGUGAGGCCACUGGCGAGUGGUUCGGGUGGACAAUCAAGUUCUAGGCGCCACUCGAAGUCGUCCUCUACCCGGUCCUCCCCAAGAUGUGUGAUUUAUGGUGGUUCCCAGUGGGCUUGGCAGUGUGUACUGCGUGAUGGAAGGUGCCUUCGUUGUGGGCAGCCGGGCCAUGUGCGGGGUGAGUGCCCGCGAGGGUAUGAUCAGACCCUUACACUGGUGACGGCCUUUUCCUCUCCGGGACAGCCUGUAGGUGUGCCACCUGCGGCAUGGUCGGAAGAGCGGCCGUUGAGGAUGAUGCAACCGAGGGGUUCGCGGCGGGCAGCAAGUGGUCGUGGAUACGCGACCCAGGUGGAGGAACCUGCAGCUGCUGACGAUGUUAUGGCAGGUAUGAGUUAAUUAAGCAAGCAUAUGCUGCUACCUGAUGUCAGGUUGUUGCAUAGCAUGCAUUUAUCAUAUGGUCAGUUGCUACAAUUUAUACAUUGUAUAGUAGGGACCGAGGGAAUGGGUAGGCAGAUACCCGGGCAUGCUUGCAUUGUGAGAGUAUGGCGCCUGCUGGAGCAGGUAGAGAGCCUGAUGGCCCUAGCAAAAAUGCUAGUGAUGAUUCUUGGACAUGAAACGAGACUCGUGUUAGAGAUGAAAUGGUGAAGCGACUCUCGAAGCAGUGGCUAGUGGAUUGCGAGAGUCGAGUUGUGACAGUUAGGAAUACCCGAGUAGCCCAAGAGUUCGGAUAUAGUUUCGGUAAAUCGAACAGUGAAAGUAGAUCACUGUUGAGAGAUCGCUUGGUUAGUGGCCAAGUUUGGCCUGUGGGCCUAAUAGUACCUGGAAUUGAGGUAGGUGAGUCGUGCAUGUGUGGCCUGUGUGCAUAGGCAGGGUUGCCUAAUGCUCAACUUAGUAUGGAACGCUAUAGAGGCGUGGGACGCUCGAGUGCAAGUACUCAUAGAGUGCAGAUUUGGUUCAGCCGAGAGAGUGAGUUGGCAGUAGUACUUUAGCAUUGCUAAGUGUGACGGGGGCUAUGGAUCACUCGUAGGGUUGAUGGCUCGCACUAGGUGCAUAGGAGCCUGUCGUGGUACAUGUUACUCGAUUGAGUGUGUCGUGUGAGAUGACGGCGGGUAUUGCUUGGGGACGACCCGUGCCUGGACCCUUUGUGGACUGUGGAGCCUGGGCUCUUUGGGCAGGCGCAGUCAGUUGUGAGUGACAGCGGCCUGGUACCUACGGGUAGGGCAGAGUUUUGGUCAGGACGGUAGUCCGAGCUUAGACCCGGGAACGUAGAAUGCCACGUGUUAGAUCUUGUGAUCAAGGGAGCACUAAGAAUGCGGUUGUGACCCAACCUGAGGAUUUGACAUGGUUUGGAGUCUUGGUAACUCCUGAUUGGAGUGUGUGCGAAUUUCUAAAUGAGAAUUUCGCCCAGUGAUGAUUGGGUCUACGCUUGCGAGCGAGAAACGCUAUGCGUAGUUGAGACAGGUUAAGUGGUAGGUCUACGUGGGAUUGGUGGCCCAUGGUCCACCCGUAGAAAUCGAUUGUCGGUGCGGCCGAUAACUCUAUUAAUGAGUUUUGGCUUGAAUUACGAACGGAGUGUUCGUGUGAGCUCGUUGCGAGACCGAUUUGAUGUUGGCUGUGGCAAUUGAAGGAGAAAGUAAAGUGGUCUCUAGGAGACACUUGGAUAACAGAAGCUAUGUGAGAAUUGGAGCUUGAGGAAUGCUCUUUUGUGGAUUUAGAUUGGAGAUGUGCCGGAGUGUGCCAUCUCGUGAUAGAGCAAGGAUCCGAUGAUGGUUGGAGCGCUCACGAUGGUCGAUGCACCAAUGAUAUUGCUUUUAGGCAAUUCCGGUGGUCGAAUCGGAGUGUGUCCCCGGAAUGAAGGAUGAAUGCCAGGAAGAGUUGUAUUAGACUCUUGGAUAGCCAAAGUGGUGAAGUGCCACUUUGUGAACGCUCGAGUGAUUCGAGAAGGUCUACCCGUGUGCAUUGUGUAGCGGUGGUGGAUGGUUCGACUAGUAAAUGCGAUCUUGCUAGAUCCACACCAUGAGGAUGAAGGGUAGUCCUAAUCUCGAAUGAGAGUGAUGUUUAGUAGAGUUGUGAAGGAAUGAAUCCUUCUCAAGCUAAGCAGCAGGCGGUGUUCGAGUGUGUAGAGUCAUCGAGUAUUGACUUACACUACCACCGAGACUUGUGAAGCCGAAAUGCACUUUCGGAGUUGCGUUUAGCAAAUGUGAGUGAAUCUGGUAUCACAUCCUCCGUAGUGGGCCUUUGGAUAAUUCUGAUGAGAAAAAGGCCACUCUGAAGUGCAAAAGUGCAUUGGAACCCUCGAUUAAUUAAUAAGUCGAAUUGAGGGGUGAAUUGGAUUUGAAGUGAGUGAGUUUCGAGGACGAAACUCUCGAAGUGAGUGAAUUCUCGAAAUACGGGAGUUGAACUUCAAUUAGAAUUGACUGACUGUCGAUUGGGUAUGCUUCGGAAAGGCCAAAAGCAUCAAAGAGGUCAAAAGUGCGUUGAGGAUGGCCUCCGAGAGCAAGCUGGAGAAGUUCUGCACAACUGCAGUUUUUGUGCUCUCGGGGACCGGUCCCUCAGCCGGAGAGAUCGGUCCCCGUACGCGUGAAAAUGGGCAGAGCCCUCUGCCCGCGGAAAUUGCUUUUGGGGUCUGGUCCCUCAGCCAAGGACCGGUCCUCCAUGGUCCGGUCCCUCAUGCAAAGUCCGGUCCCGGUACGCGAAAUCUGCCAGUGCAGAGCAGUGCAAUAGAGGCAUUGUUGAGGAGGUUUUUGGCAUAUUAUUACAUAUGAGGGGUUAAGUGAGAGUUCCCUCUCUCUCUUUCUCUCAUUCCCUCAACCCUAACGCACACUCUCCCUCUCUCUCUCUAGAUUAGCUCUCUCUCUCUCUCUCAUCAAGGAGGAGCAAGAGAAGGGGAAAGUAAAGGAGAGGGUGGAGAAGAAAGCUAGGAAAUGGAUCAUCUUCAUCUUCUUCAUCUUCUUCCUUGAUUUGGAAGCUUGGAGAGGUAAGCUUCUUGAAGCAACAAUGGUGAUUUCUUAGGGUUGGUUUAUAUACUCUAAGAAUGGAUUCUUUGGAACCCUAGCAUGCCAUCUAGAUGGAUUACACCUAAUUUGUGGGAAGAUUUGGUGGUUUUUGCAAUAGUUACAAACUAGGGCUCCAAGUGGGGAUUUUUGUAAACCUAUGGGUUUGAUCUCAAUUGACCCUCCGUAAAUCUAAUUGCUAGGCAUUCUGACGCAUUGGCGAAGUCGGUUCGGCGAUUCGUCGAGCCUACGCGAAGAUAUUGAAGAAACAGACGAUUUAGCUUCGUUUCCGCCUGGAGGGCCGAUGCGACAUCCAAAAAUCAUGAAAAUGGAUUUGUGGCAUCGCGGCAUCAAGCUGUAGACCUAUAAUUUUCAGGGCCGCGAAUCGACACACGGUUGGGGUGCAGUUGCAGUAUCGGGCCGAACCGGACGGCGUGUGCCGUGGGAGGCCGAUUGCAAAUGACUACAAGCAAUUGGAACGCGAUAACAGGUGGAUUGUGCUUACCGAAGCGACUAGGUCGCUUGCAUGUCAAAGUGGAAUAUGGAUUCCUGUUGACGCAUAUGUAUGUGCAUGUGGGCAUUGCAAAUGUGCUAGAUGGAAAUAUAGGCAUGUUAGCUUUAUGUAAAUACAUGCUAGUGGGUAAUUGCAUAAUGAUGCAUUGAAAGUAUAUGCUAGUGGAUAGAUUCAUGUUGAUAUACAUGCAUAGUGGAAUAUAUGCUAGAUGUAUUUAGCAUUAUGAAAUCAUGUUAGAUAAGAAGCAUGUUGGCAUUGUGAGCAUGUAACUAUAAACUCGAUGUGGACAACUAGGAUGUCAAGUAGAUCGAGUGGCAUUAAACCUAGUGUUAUUAAACAUAGGUUGGAAAUAAACCUAGUGCCGUGAACCUAGGAUGAACAUGAGUGGCAUUAACCUAGUGUCGUGAACAUAGGUUGAAUACGAGUGGCAUUGAACCUAGGGUUAUUUAACAUAGGUUGUAGUGAACCAAGUGUCGUGGACUUAGGAUGGAUAAGAAUGACAUAUGAACCUAGGUUAUGUGAUAAAGGCAUCGAACCUAGUGUUAAAUGAACCUAGGUUAUGUGAUAAAGGCAUUGAACCUAGAGUCAGUUGGACCUAGGGUGGAAAAGACAACGGACCUAGAUAGGUCGAUACUAUAGGGUUUGAGACCAACCCUUGAGAUGCAAAAUGGAUUUCGGAAUCCCUAGUGUUGUGGCCGCAAAAGAGGUGGUGGAAACUUGCUGCAGAAUGGACGUGAAUCAUAACUGCGGGUAUGUGUGGUUCUCCUCGCCCGGCAGUGAUACAACGGCAUGUGUGGUUCUCUUCGAAUGAAAUGCUAUGAGAAUAAGUUUGAAAUGGGUAUGUGUGGUUCUCCUCGCCCAUUUAGCUUAUUGGAUGAUGCCGCCAGGAUUGACUUGAGCCAUUGUUGGGUGAGGUGCGAUGCGUUCGCUGCCAGAUGGCUAAGUCAAGAGGUGCGGUGGGCUGUGACGGCAGCCAGGCUGAGAUGCAACCAGUCCGCGGUAGUCCGCGGAUGAUUGACUCAAGGCCAAGUCGAGUGGAUAGCUUGGAUAAGGUAGUGGACUCCUUAGAAGCUAGUGAUAAAGGCCAGUGCUAAGGUAAUAGAGACUUUAGAAGUAAGUGGACUUGAGUUGCGAACCUAAGGCUAGGGGUGGAAACGAGCCGAGCUCGAGCGAGCUUGCCUCGGCUCAAAUUCGGCUUGAAAUUAAUUUCGAGCCUAAAUUUAAGCUCAAGCUUGGAUUGAAAUAAAUUCGAGCCGAGCUCGAGCGAGCCUAAUUUCGAGUCCAGCGAGCUCGAGCCCUAAACGAGCCGCUUGAAAUUCUCAACAUCAUAUGAUCAAUAGUUUAAUUUGUAUAGAACAUUAUCUAUAAUUUGAUACAAAAAUAUGUCUAAUAGUUCAAAGUAUAAAAUAAUUAUAUAAAAUAUAGUAUUAUAAUAUGAAAAAAAAAUUUAUGAGUUGAAUACAAUUAAUAGCAAGAUAGGCAACGGCAGGCAUAUGCUGCUACUUGGUAACUUAUAUAUAUAUAUAUAUAUAUAUAUAUAUAUAUAUAUUCGAGCUUUUCGAGCUUUUCAAGCCUAAUUCGAACGAGCCGAGUAAUACUCAAGCUCGGCUUGAAAUGAAUUUCGAGCCUUUUUUUUUGUUCAAGCUCGGCUCAUUUAAUUUCGAGUCGAGCUCGAGCGAGCCAAAUAUCGAGUCGAAUGCGAGUCGAACGCGAGCCGGCUCGCUCAUUUGCCAGCCCUACCUAAGGCAAAGGAAACCUUAGAGCUAGAUGAUAUGAGCUAAAGAUAGCAGGUUUGACUUGAGACUCAAUUGACAAGUUCUCGGGCGAUGAGACCGAGAAUACGAUGGAACAUGUAGCUCGAUUUACGGCCCAGUGUACAGAAGCGGCCGCAGACCCGUUUUAAAGCUUUGAUUAUUUAAUACAUUAUUAACUAAAACAGUAUUUACUUGGUAUACAAGUUUACUAGCCAAUUUUGUCCGAAAUUGCGAUGAAUUGGAAAGAAAAUUCUAUGGGCAAUUCUAUAGGUCCGAAUCGGAGUUAUCGAUGGCCGACUUGGCCUUAUACUGACAAAAGUUGGGUGAAACAGUGGAGGAAUAUUUGAAUUGUUUCAAAAUGGUUAGGAACUGGUGUUUCAUAAGAAUGCUUGGCAUCACAGUUCGUCAAAAUGGCGUUCAAUGGUCGACAUUUCAAGAUAAAAGAUUAUUUUCAAUAUAAAUAUUUUUCGAACUUGUUCCAUUUGGGCGUUUGAAUUGCUCAAUAUGAAUAGUUUAGAAAAGAAAACAAUGAGAAUCAGUCACGAUGGAGCUAAAUAAAGAAUGGAACAAAGGAAAAGAGAAGAAUGUCGCUUUCAUUGAAGAGGCUUCGGCUCAAGACGAGCCGAAUAUCUCAAGUGUACAAGUGUGCGCUGCUCAAACCAGGAAGGCCAGCGAAAUAAAAGCAUGAAUGACGGCAUACACUGUCACGCCCCGGGGUCCCCUUUUAGUUUGAAACACAGCGGAAAAACGUUUAAAUUUUUUUUUUUUGAAAACCUGACCCCAGAGUAUGCCAGAUCCGCCACAAAUACAGGGAAUCCACUGUUCACACGGACAGAGUCUCCUCUAUAUUUGCACGGCGUCGCACAAGUACAAAAGUACAAACAGUAUACAACCACAACUAAAUGAAUAUACAGAUAGCUAUACAUUCAUACAUUCACCAUUCACACCGUAGUUUUACAUUCGAUGUUUAAACAAAAGUUCACGAAAAACCUUUUGAAAACUGUUCCAUACGCGAGAACUUUUAUCUUUUAUAAAAGCUACCACGAGGGGUAGAAAACCUUUUAUUUUACCAAAUUUAGAAAUUCUUUUAUUACAUUCAUGAAAGUCCACAUAUUCCAAUGUAAUAAAAAUACUGAACCAUAUAAACUGACUAAGCUAUAACAACAGAAUAGUAGGGAUAAAACUAAACCGAUAACCUGGGUCGGGAGCUCUAUCGACCACUACGAACGUACCUCACGUCUCGUCCCAAAACUCAACGCCUGCAAUACCUGAAAAAAUGGUGGGGGAGGUGAGAACAUGUAAACAUGUCUCCCCUCCCAGUGGGUACCGCAAGCCGAUGAAGGCGAGGAGUACUCACCGGAUCAGGAAGAGCUAAACAACAGUACGGGUCAGUAGAAAAUACAGUAG
RNAcentral lists this long non-coding RNA (11905 nucleotides) under Ananas comosus (pineapple). RNAcentral describes it as "long non-coding RNA (ACOM_LNC011769)". Lineage: Eukaryota; Viridiplantae; Streptophyta; Magnoliopsida; Poales; Bromeliaceae. The record is from RNAcentral.